Molecule: ribosomal RNA, 500 nt
Filed under: uncultured bacterium
Lineage: Bacteria
Description: partial 16S ribosomal RNA
Rfam family: Bacterial small subunit ribosomal RNA
Source: RNAcentral
AUUGAACGCUGGCGGAAUGCUUUACACAUGCAAGUCGAACGGCAGCACGGACUUCGGUCUGGUGGCGAGUGGCGAACGGGUGAGUAAUGUAUCGGAACGUGCCCAGUCGUGGGGGAUAACGUAGUGAAAAUUACGCUAAUACCGCAUACGAUCUAUGGAUGAAAGCGGGGGAUCGCAAGACCUCGCGCGAUUGGAGCGGCCGAUAUCAGAUUAGGUAGUUGGUGGGGUAAAGGCCCACCAAGCCAACGAUCUGUAGCUGGUCUGAGAGGACUACCAGCCACACUGGAACUGAGACACGGUCCAGACUCCUACGGGAGGCAGCAGUGGGGAAUUUUGGAGAAUGGGCGAAAGCCUGAUCCAGCCAUUCCGCGUUCAGGAUGAAGGCCCUCGGGUUGUAAACUGCUUUUGUACAGAACGAAAAGGUUUCUACUAAUACUAGGAGCUCAUGACGGUACUGUAAGAAUAAGCACCGGCUAACUACGUGCCAGCCGCCGCCGUAA